This 557-nucleotide ribosomal RNA is filed under the name uncultured archaeon. RNAcentral describes it as "bacterial SSU rRNA". It matches the Rfam family "Archaeal small subunit ribosomal RNA", at positions 321 to 879 of the family's 1478-position model. The record is from RNAcentral.
CCCUACGGGGCGCAGCAGGCGCGAAAACUUCACACUGUGCGAAAGCACGAUGAGGGAAUCCCAAGUGCUUGCACGUAAGUGUAAGCUGUUUCUCUGUCUAAAACGCAGAGAGAGUAAGGGCUGGGUAAGACGGGUGCCAGCCGCCGCGGUAAUACCUGCAGCUCAAGUGGUGACCGUUAUUAUUGGGCCUAAAACGUCCGUAGCCGGUUUAAUAAAUGCCCGGGUAAAUCGUGUAGCUUAACUAUACGAAUUCCGGGUAGACUGUUAAACUUGAGACCGGGAGAAGUUAGAGGUACUCCUGGGGUAGAGGUGAAAUUCUGUAAUCCUAGGGGGACCACCAGUGGCGAAGGCGUCUAACUAGAACGGGUCUGACGGUGAGGGACGAAGCCCUGGGGCGCAAACGGGAUUAGAUACCCCGGUAGUCCAGAGUGUAAACGCUGCUUGCUUGAUGUUAGUCGGGCUCCGAGCCCGAUUAGUGUCGGAGAGAAGUUGUUAAGCAAGCUGCCUGGGAAGUACGAUCGCAAGAUUGAAACUUAAAGGAAUUGGCGGGGGAGCAC